UACGUAGGUGGCAAGCGCUACUCGGAAUCACUAGGCGUAAAGCGCAGGUAGGCGGUUUGGUAAGUCUUUUGUGAAAGCUCCUGGCUCAACUGGGAGAGGUCCUUGCAUACUGGCGAACUCGAGGGAGGCAGAGGAAAGUGGAAUUCCCGGUGUAGUGGUGAUAUGCGUAGAUAUCGGGAGGAACACCUGUGGCGAAGGCGGCUUUCUGGGCCUUACCUGACGCUGAGACGCGAAAGCGUGGGGAGCGAACCGG
This 253-nucleotide ribosomal RNA is filed under the name uncultured bacterium. RNAcentral's name for it is "partial 16S ribosomal RNA". It matches the Rfam family "Bacterial small subunit ribosomal RNA", at positions 524 to 776 of the family's 1533-position model. The record is from RNAcentral.